UAAAGUAAAUAUUUGGUUCUGGUAUAAUGUUAGCUACAGAGUUUUUUACAUUACACAAUGUAGGAUAAUUUCGUGAUGUGUAAAAGUCUGAUUUAUGUGAUAAGCCAAAUUUAAGGCGCCCUAAAAGGAGUGGUAUGGCAGCAGGAGCAUAAGUCUUAUGAUGAUGACGCGAAGGAAAUCACAACUCAAGUGGGUAGAUCUGGAAAUCAAUGAGUUCUAGCUUGAAACGAAUAAAAAACUAACUAAAUCGAAGCGAAAGAGGGUGCCAGCAGCUGCGGUCACUCCCUCUCUCGAGGAGCUAAUAAGGGUGCAGCUUAGAGGCAGUUAGUCAAAAUGUGUGACGCAAGACAUACAGCAGGGACUAUGGGUGAAAUCUCAGUCUUGCGGGAGGUCCAAAGCUUGCGUAAAGAUGAAUCUGCGAAGUUAUGGGUAUAGACCCGGAUUUGGUACCCGGUUAUUCCAUAAUGUCAAGUAUAGCUAUUUUAUUUGAAUUAAUAGUUUGCUAGGGGUACUACGAGCAACUGCUUAAAACUCGAAGAACUUGGCGGUUCCGCAUAACCAUCCAGAGGCUCUUGGCGCUUAAUCUGAUGAUCCGCGUGAUAUCUUACCUGCCCUAUAGAAAGCAGUGUACUGCCGUCGAAAGCUUAUGAUGUGAGUAAGUAAAAAUAGGCCCAAUCUUGGGGUUUUAAGAAAUUAAUAAUCAUACCGAGGCUAGGUCAGGUCGAAGUGCUCCUUAUGGGCAAGGGGUUAGCUGAGAGACAAAUAUUUAGACAUAUAAAGAUUUUAGAGAUGAAAUUCUCUUAGUGUAUAUAAGGAUUUGGGAGUAAAAAGAGAGUAAUUCGUUUUUUUGAAAAGACGCAACUGCGGUGCGUUCAAAUCGCCCGUCACCCUAGCCGAAAGGAGAGGUAAGUCGUAACAUGGUAAGGGUAGGGGAACUUGCUCUUUUAAU
This is a ribosomal RNA of 949 nucleotides. The stretch from base 180 to 948 matches the Rfam family "Microsporidia small subunit ribosomal RNA".